Molecule: long non-coding RNA, 2727 nt
Filed under: Pan troglodytes (chimpanzee)
Lineage: Eukaryota; Metazoa; Chordata; Mammalia; Primates; Hominidae
Description: lncRNA (ENSPTRG00000052986.1)
Source: RNAcentral
AAUUGGGGUGGCAGUAGGGGAAGAGAAAGUAUCUCUUGGGUGAGAAAUCAAUGGUCCAUUUCCAACACUGGACUGUAAUGUCCUUCUAAUCAGUACUCCGUCUAUCUGAUUCCAUAAUGGCGUUGAAGGGGUGGGGACACCAUCUCAUCUUUUAGGGAGGAAAUGAUGGUCUAGACAAAUCAAUGAUUUUCCAAGGUCUCUCUUAAGAGACCCAUAGUAGUACUGGGAUUUUAACCUUUGGCUCUGUUUGGAUACAAAUAACCAGAGUGAGAAUAGAAAUCUAAUAUAAUCAUCCAAAUCUGUCAUCAAAGCUACUUUCAGCAGACUGAGUGAUUCAUUAAAAACAAAACCAACCAACCAACCAAAAAAUGAGACAUAGAGAUGCGCUGAGCUGGUGCAGGGGAGGAGAUCCAUAAAAGCCUGAGGAAUGAUCCUUGUCCCUGAGGACAUGAGCCAGAAACCCAGGUGAAAGGCAGCCCCCAACACAGGUGUUAAACCAGCUAGCUCCAGUCCAAGGUGGAAUAGAGCAUGCAUUCUGGGGUGAUACAAAAAUUGAAAUACGGGAGUCUCUGGACCAUGUCCCCAUGCCAUAACUCUUGUGCACUUCCAAGCCCUCUUUCUUACUAACACCAAGGAAAUAAUGAACAUGUCACUACCUUGCUUAGAUAUUUCCAAUGGUCCCAUCAUCAAUAACAAAAGUUGCUCCUUUGCAUGGGAACAUGCCUUUUGUAAUUUACACCCUGCUUUCCUCGCCAGCUUCGUUUCUUCAGACCGUCCAGCUUGCUGCCUCUUGCCCAGUCACGUGGAGCUAAUAAAGAUGCGCUGUUCCACACCUCUGUGCCUCUCCACAUAUGGUUCCUUUCGCCUGGAGUGCCAACCCUUUCUGCCUGCUGUCCACCUAUCAAACUUCCACUCAUCCUUUACAAACGAGCAUAAGCAUCAGCACUUUGGAGGUGUGAGAAAAUACCCAGUGUAUGCAUCAGCCCCAUUUCCUAGACACACUGAACAAACUGAGAACAGAAAACUGAGAUCAAAUCCCACUACUUCCCAUCAACCAGAGCUGAAGUGGGAGGAUUGCUUGAAGCCAGGAGUUUGAGACCAGCCUGGACAACAAAGCAAAACCCUGUCUCUACAAAAAAAAAAAAAAACAUUUUAAAAUAUUAUCUGGGCAUGGUGACGCAGGUCUGUAGUCCCAGCUACUUGGGAGGCUGAGGUGUGAGGAUCACUUGAUCGCUCAGGAGUUUGGAGGCUGCAGUGAGCUAUGAUCACACCACUGCCCUUUGCUUGGGUGUCAGAGUGAGACCUCAUCUCUAAAAAAAAUUAAAAUAAAAUAAAAUUAUAAAAUAAUAAUAAAAAAAGAAGGGGCACCCACCACAGAGAGCAAUUAAUGUCCAGAGAGUAUGAACAGAUCCUGGGACUGCUUUGCAAGACAGUUCAGUUAAAGUUGCUUUAACUUUGUAGGCGGACCAGCCUCUGCUCAGCCCUUGAAAGGGAAGCUGGGCACUCAACCACACUCAGUAAGCUGAACAAGAGCAGGCCGUGAGGCCGCCAAGCCCUCCAAGGAUAAAGCAUGAGCCCUAGGGCAACUGGACAUGUGCUGGAGAUAGCUGGCUCAAGGCCAGUGCCUCUUCAGUGCUGGAAACUGUUGACUCAAGAUUCGUGCGUCACCCAGCCCUUGGGGGUGGGCCAGGGAUCAUGACUCUGGCAAGCUCACAGAGUGCCUGAGAUUGAAGCUGCUGUGCAUGGUGGCUGCUUUAUGUUCCUGCAAUAACUAACAGGGACCAAAGCUGAAAGCAUUCUGUGUAUGGGCUGAUGGUGGCUGGAAUACACAUUUGGAGGUUUGAACCUAGCCUUUUCAAAAACAAAACCAAUCAAAUAAAGCAACCCCUCGCCAUCACCUGAGGACUCUUCACAAGCUUUCUGGUAGGUUCCAGGAGUUUCUGAUCCCCCAGGCUGAGGCAUUACUUGGUGGUUAUUAACCUCGUGCAGAACAAAAUGAAAUGCAGACCCUGGGGUCCUUUGGGAGACUUAGAACCUUAGCCAAAGUUCCAGAGAUCCUGGGGCUGCUUUUCUGAAGUUCCAGUUUCUUCAGCAAAGUUGCUCCCAAUUUCUCAAAUAGUGGAUACACCUCUGCAGAGUGGCUGUCAGUCUUAGAAAGUGUAAGACAUGCCUGGAGAACUUGUUAAAAGUUCAGAUUCUAUACACCUAACAGAAUGGCAACAAUUCAGAACACUGACAACACCCAGUGCUGGUGAGGAUGUGGAGAAACAAGAAUUCAUUCAUUGCUGGUGGGAAUGCAAAAUGGUACAACCACUUUGGAAGACAGUUUGGUGAUUUCUUACAAAACUAAACAUAUUCCUCCCAUAUGAUGCAGCAAUUGUGUUCCUUGGUAUUUACCCAAAUGAGUUAAAAACUUCUGACCACACAAAAGCCUUCACACAGCUGUUAUAGCAUCUAUCUAUCUAUCAUCUAUCUAUCUAUCAAUCUAAUUAUCAUCUACCAAUCUAUCAUCUAUCAUCUAUCUAUCUAAUCUAUCUGUCAUCUAUCAUCUAUCUAUCUAUCUAUCUAUCAUCAUCUAUCUAUCAUCUAUCUAUCAUUCCAUCAUCUGUCUAUGUAUCUAUGUAUCUAUCAUCUAUGUAUCUAUCAUCUAUCUAGGUAUCUAUCAUCUAUCUAUGUAUCUAUCAUCUAUGUAUAUAUCAUCUAUCUAUCAUUCCAUCUAUCAUCCUA